This 378-nucleotide ribosomal RNA is filed under the name uncultured bacterium. RNAcentral's name for it is "bacterial SSU rRNA". It matches the Rfam family "Bacterial small subunit ribosomal RNA", at positions 521 to 896 of the family's 1533-position model. The record is from RNAcentral.
UAAGACGUAGGGGGCGAGCGUUGUCCGGAUUCAUUGGGCGUAAAGAGCGCGCAGGCGGCCGAGCAAGUCGGUUGUGAAAUCCCGUGGCUCAACCACGGAACCGCAUCCGAAACUGCUCGGCUAGAGGUAGGUAGGGGAGAUCGGAAUUCCUGGUGUAGCGGUGAAAUGCGCAGAUAUCAGGAGGAACACCGGUGGCGAAGGCGGAUCUCUGGGCCUUACCUGACGCUCAGGCGCGAAAGCUAGGGGAGCGAACAGGAUUAGAUACCCUGGUAGUCCUAGCUGUAAACGUUGGGUGCUAGGUGUGGGCGGAUAUCAACCCCGUCCGUGCCGAAGCUAACGCAUUAAGCACCCCGCCUGGGGAGUACGGCCGCAAGGCUA